AUGACAAUGAAUGGGGCUACAGGUAAUGUCUCCAUUUUCUCUUCCCAUUCGAUCACUUCACUAUUCAUUUUGCAAAAGCUUAUAAUUUGGUUCUUAAGGAACAUUCAUUUGACAUAACUAUUUGUGUUUGCAGUACUCGCGUGCUCGACUUGAUUCGUCACAUGGCCUCCACCCAGCCUUGAAUAAGUUGACAAUGAUUAUUGAGUGCUGUAAUGAGUCAAAUGUGUAGAUGCAAGCAUCUGAUGUUUAAAUAAAAAUUGAGUGUAGUUCGUCUGAUUUUGUUUUAUGGUUUUUAGCUGUCAAAAGCUAUGGAGUUUGAAAACAAUAUUUGUUAUAUUGGGAAUAAUUCCACCUGGUUGAUACAAGUAUCAUAUGAUUUUUACAUUA
Molecule: unclassified non-coding RNA, 387 nt
Filed under: Hevea brasiliensis (rubber tree)
Lineage: Eukaryota; Viridiplantae; Streptophyta; Magnoliopsida; Malpighiales; Euphorbiaceae
Source: RNAcentral